RNAcentral lists this ribosomal RNA (930 nucleotides) under uncultured bacterium. RNAcentral describes it as "bacterial SSU rRNA". It matches the Rfam family "Bacterial small subunit ribosomal RNA", at positions 1 to 916 of the family's 1533-position model. The record is from RNAcentral.
UAGAGUUUGAUCCUGGCUCAGGACGAACGCUGCGCGGCGUGCCUAAUACAUGCAAGUAGAACGCCUGAAGAGAGGAGCUUGCUCUUCUUGGAUGAGUUGCGAACGGGUGAGUAACGCGUAGGUAACCUGCCUUGUAGCGGGGGAUAACUAUUGGAAACGAUAGCUAAUACCGCAUAACAAUGGAUGACACAUGUCAUUUAUUUGAAAGGGGCAAUUGCUCCACUACAAGAUGGACCUGCGUUGUAUUAGCUAGUAGGUGAGGUAAUGGCUCACCUAGGCGACGAUACAUAGCCGACCUGAGAGGGUGAUCGGCCACACUGGGACUGAGACACGGCCCAGACUCCUACGGGAGGCAGCAGUAGGGAAUCUUCGGCAAUGGGGGCAACCCUGACCGAGCAACGCCGCGUGAGUGAAGAAGGUUUUCGGAUCGUAAAGCUCUGUUGUAAGUCAAGAACGGGUGUGAGAGUGGAAAGUUCACACUGUGACGGUAGCUUACCAGAAAGGGACGGCUAACUACGUGCCAGCAGCCGCGGUAAUACGUAGGUCCCGAGCGUUGUCCGGAUUUAUUGGGCGUAAAGCGAGCGCAGGCGGUUUGAUAAGUCUGAAGUUAAAGGCUGUGGCUCAACCAUAGUUCGCUUUGGAAACUGUCAAACUUGAGUGCAGAAGGGGAGAGUGGAAUUCCAUGUGUAGCGGUGAAAUGCGUAGAUAUAUGGAGGAACACCCGGUGGCGAAAGCGGCUCUCUGGUCUGUAANCUGACCGCUGAGGCUCGAAAGCGUGGGGAGCGAACAGGAUUAGAUACCCUGGUAGUCCACGCCGUAAACGAUGAGUGCUAGGUGUUGGAUCCUUUCCGGGAUUCAGUGCCNAAGCUAACGCAUUAAGCACUCCGCCUGGGGAGUACGACCCCAGGNUGAAACUCAAGGAAUUGACGG